CUGCGGAAGGAUCAUUAUUGAAUUCACAGCGGUGCUGUUGCUGGCCUUCCGGGGCAUGUGCACGCCCGCAUAUAUUCAACCACCUGUGAACACAUUGUAGACCUGGGACAAAUUCUCAAGGAAACUUGGACGUAGGGCUUGCAGGUCUCUCAGGGAUCAGCUGCUCUUUGCGUUCUGGGUCUAUGUCUUAUACACCCCAGUAUGUCAAAGAAUGUCUUUAAUGGCUGUAUUGGCCUUAAACUUAAUACAACUUUCAACAACGGAUCUCUUGGCUCUCGCAUCGAUGAAGAACGCAGCGAAAUGCGAUAAGUAAUGUGAAUUGCAGAAUUCAGUGAAUCAUCGAAUCUUUGAACGCACCUUGCACCCUUUGGUAUUCCGAAGGGUAUGCCUGUUUGAGUGUCAUUAAAUUCUCAACCUUACUGGCUUUGCUUGUAAGGCUUGGAUGUGAAGGCUGCCGGCCUCUCAGAGGACGGCUCCUUUCAAAUGCAUUAGCGGAACUGUCGUGUAUCGCUCACGGUGUGAUAAUUAUCUGCGCCUACGAGUUUGAUCAUGAAAAGGGUUCUGCUUCUAACUGUCUUCAGAGACAAUCUACUUGACAUUGACCUC
This 606-nucleotide ribosomal RNA is filed under the name Resupinatus niger. Its description in RNAcentral is "eukaryotic LSU rRNA". The stretch from base 249 to 402 matches the Rfam family "5.8S ribosomal RNA". The record is from RNAcentral. Lineage: Eukaryota; Fungi; Basidiomycota; Agaricomycetes; Agaricales; Resupinataceae.